RNAcentral lists this ribosomal RNA (1326 nucleotides) under Paenarthrobacter histidinolovorans. RNAcentral describes it as "bacterial SSU rRNA". It matches the Rfam family "Bacterial small subunit ribosomal RNA", at positions 103 to 1440 of the family's 1533-position model. The record is from RNAcentral. Lineage: Bacteria; Bacillati; Actinomycetota; Actinomycetes; Micrococcales; Micrococcaceae.
CGGGUGAGUAACACGUGAGUAACCUGCCCUUGACUCUGGGAUAAGCCUGGGAAACUGGGUCUAAUACCGGAUAUGACUCCUCAUCGCAUGGUGGGGGGUGGAAAGCUUUUGUGGUUUUGGAUGGACUCGCGGCCUAUCAGCUUGUUGGUGGGGUAAUGGCCUACCAAGGCGACGACGGGUAGCCGGCCUGAGAGGGUGACCGGCCACACUGGGACUGAGACACGGCCCAGACUCCUACGGGAGGCAGCAGUGGGGAAUAUUGCACAAUGGGCGCAAGCCUGAUGCAGCGACGCCGCGUGAGGGAUGACGGCCUUCGGGUUGUAAACCUCUUUCAGUAGGGAAGAAGCGUAAGUGACGGUACCUGCAGAAGAAGCGCCGGCUAACUACGUGCCAGCAGCCGCGGUAAUACGUAGGGCGCAAGCGUUAUCCGGAAUUAUUGGGCGUAAAGAGCUCGUAGGCGGUUUGUCGCGUCUGCUGUGAAAGACCGGGGNUCAACUCCGGUUCUGCAGUGGGUACGGGCAGANUNGAGUGCAGUAGGGGAGACUGGNAUUCCUGGUGUAGCGGUGAAAUGCGCAGAUAUCAGGAGGAACACCGAUGGCGAAGGCAGGUCUCUGGGCUGUAACUGACGCUGAGGAGCGAAAGCAUGGGGAGCGAACAGGAUUAGAUACCUGGUAGUCCAUGCCGUAAAACGUUGGGCACUAGGUGUGGGGGACAUUCCACGUUUUUCCGCGCCGUAGCUAACGCAUUAAGUGCCCCGCCUGGGGAGUACGGCCGCAAGGCUAAAACUCAAAGGAAUUGACGGGGGCCCGCACAAGCGGCGGAGCAUGCGGAUUAAUUCGAUGCAACGCGAAGAACCUUACCAAGGCUUGACAUGAACCGGAAAGACCUGGAAACAGGUGCCCCGCUUGCGGUCGGUUUACAGGUGGUGCAUGGUUGUCGUCAGCUCGUGUCGUGAGAUGUUGGGUUAAGUCCCGCAACGAGCGCAACCCUCGUUCUAUGUUGCCAGCGGUUCGGCCGGGGACUCAUAGGAGACUGCCGGGGUCAACUCGGAGGAAGGUGGGGACGACGUCAAAUCAUCAUGCCCCUUAUGUCUUGGGCUUCACGCAUGCUACAAUGGCCGGUACAAAGGGUUGCGAUACUGUGAGGUGGAGCUAAUCCCAAAAAGCCGGUCUCAGUUCGGAUUGGGGUCUGCAACUCGACCCCAUGAAGUCGGAGUCGCUAGUAAUCGCAGAUCAGCAACGCUGCGGUGAAUACGUUCCCGGGCCUUGUACACACCGCCCGUCAAGUCAAGAGAAGUUGGUAACACCCGAAGCCGGUGGCCUAACC